AACAAAGCUAGCAACUCAUGAAGCAACCAAAAACAGCAAGUUGUUUGGUCCUGUACAGCAUAAUCAAGGCCCAAUUUCGUGGCAUAGCAUACACCUCCUUCCUCACUUAUACACAAAAUUAGCAAUUGGCAUUUUGGUUCAUAAAAUUAACUUGGAUUAGCAUGUGAUAAUGUGAGCUUAAACAGACCUUUAUAAACAUUUUCUCAGCUCUUCCAACCCGAGCAAGCUGCAGCCACACGACCAAAU
RNAcentral lists this long non-coding RNA (246 nucleotides) under Lathyrus oleraceus (garden pea). Its description in RNAcentral is "Pisum sativum (pea) long non-coding RNA (PSAT_LNC037807)". Lineage: Eukaryota; Viridiplantae; Streptophyta; Magnoliopsida; Fabales; Fabaceae. The record is from RNAcentral.